This is a non-coding RNA of Syntrophaceticus schinkii, 237 nucleotides long. The record is from Rfam. NCBI's taxonomy places the organism in Bacteria, Bacillati, Bacillota, Clostridia, Thermoanaerobacterales, Thermoanaerobacterales Family III. Incertae Sedis.
GGAAUCCCACCGGGCAAGGUUUAGCCAACCACCCGUAGCCAGCCUUGGAGCAUAGCUGGUAACAGCUAUGUUUAAGCGUAGGCAGGCGAGACAGCGGGCCGAAAGCCGCAAGGUUGAAGGGAUUGAGCUUCGAAAUAGUGCGAGAUGGGAAGGCCGAUUCAUUCCGUCCUGAAGAAGGCAACAUUUCGGCAGGCGAUAGAGGCGAGCAGGCCGGAACUUCCCCGGAGUCAAAGACCU